Aegilops tauschii subsp. strangulata is the source of this 1332-nucleotide long non-coding RNA. RefSeq lists it as uncharacterized. The record is from RefSeq and is a predicted model, not a curated record. Lineage: Eukaryota; Viridiplantae; Streptophyta; Magnoliopsida; Poales; Poaceae.
GGGGGGAGUACAUCUCAAUCUCCUUCCCGUAAUGCAUUGUGUUUAAGGUAGUCCACGCCUCUUUCCUGCUCUCUCUCCCCUAAUUCGAACUCCCCUUUGGUCUCAAAUCAUCCAUCCAUCAAUCAAAUCAAAUCCACCAAAAGAAAGAAAUCUUCGCUCGCUAUCGGUCCAUCCAUGGCUGAGCUGUCGGAGAACUCUUCUCUCUCUCUCUCUCUCUCUCUCUCUCCGCCCAUGACUGAACCCGGCGCCCUGACGCACAGCCAGAGCAAACCCCAGCCACCUGGAAGACCCCGCGUUGCCGUUGACACAUGAGUCCGAGGAUGCUGCGGGGGUGGGGAGCAGGAGGUGAGAGGAUGCAGUGGGGGUUGGGAGCAGGAGGCGGGGUCAGAGCUGGAUGAGGACUGCGUGGGCCACCCGACGGUGCUCUCCCGGAGAGGCGUCGCAGGUCAUGGACGACAAGGAGACAGAGGAAGGUAGCGGCCCUAGGAAUAUACGGGGGAAGGAGGUGCGCCGCAGACUCGCAGGUCACGUACUACGAGGAGCCCGAAGGAAGCUCGGAGGCGCGGCGGCUCCUGUUGAACCUCAGCGGCCCGGCGCUCCCGCUGCAUAUCGGACACGCGGAAGCUCCCGCUGCAGCUCAGAGGCGCGGCGGCUCCUGUUGAACCUCAGCGGCCCGGCGCUCCCGCUGCAUAUCGGACACGCGGCAGCUCCGGCUGCAGCUCGGUGGGGCGGCGGCUCCCGGAAGCCCUAGCAGACACGGGGGGAUCCCAACUGAAUCUCGAGGGAAGACCGUGACCGGCGAUGAAGCUCCUCGCAUCACCUCCGCCGCCGCUGUUCCCAUCCACUGCCACCGUUCAGGUUCGUGCGUGCCCACCCUAGGAAUCCCAUACUUGCAUCAGUUGGGAAUUGGCCAUGCCGCUGAGGACCUGUGCUGUUUGCUGCGCCGUUACCAUCAGAUGAAUAGGAAAUCAACAGUAUUAGGCAUGUGUAACAUUCCCUAUGAGCCAUAAAGUACUUGUGGUGCAUGCCAUUUAUGCACAUGUCAAUCUUGGCUGCAAAUAAACAUGGAUAAUUAGUAACCAGCUAUUGUCCGCGGCUCCGCGCAUGCCAAUCCUUAGUCAGACAAAACUUGUGGUACAUGCCAUUGCUAAUUCCAGGACAAAAAAGGGGCGCAUGCCACUCCCUGUAUUAUGUUGUUCUUCAGAAUGACAAUGCGUGCACAGUUCUUGUGUACAUUGCUUUUUAUGAGAGUUUUUCUGUACUACAUUCGUGGUGACAACAAAACUGAAAAAAUGUCUAGAUGCUGAAGAGUAUAUAAUUUUUUUUUGAGAA